UACGUAGGGUGCAAGCGUUGUCCGGAAUUAUUGGGCGUAAAGAGCUCGUAGGCGGUUCGUCGCGUCGGCUGUGAAAUCCCGGAGCUCAACUCCGGGUCUGCAGUCGAUACGGGCGGACUCGAGUUCGGCAGGGGAGACUGGAAUUCCUGGUGUAGCGGUGAAAUGCGCAGAUAUCAGGAGGAACACCGGUGGCGAAGGCAGGUCUCUGGGCAUUAACUGACGCUGAGGAGCGAAAGCAUGGGGAGCGAACAGG
RNAcentral lists this ribosomal RNA (253 nucleotides) under uncultured bacterium. RNAcentral's name for it is "partial 16S ribosomal RNA". It matches the Rfam family "Bacterial small subunit ribosomal RNA", at positions 524 to 776 of the family's 1533-position model. The record is from RNAcentral.